UUCCACUCUUCCCCGGAGACGACAGUUCUCUGAGGGCAUCAUUACCACAUAUGGCUAGCAUAUAAUCAGCAGUAUCAACUUGGAAAAGCUCCCUCAAAUGUCUAAAGACCAUAGGACAAUAGUCCUUCCACCGAAACUCCACGGAUUGAUGUGGAGGUGUAAUCUUUGAUCCUUCUGGUGGAAACCUCGUCCAGAACUUCUCCUUUG
This 207-nucleotide unclassified non-coding RNA is filed under the name Hevea brasiliensis (rubber tree). Lineage: Eukaryota; Viridiplantae; Streptophyta; Magnoliopsida; Malpighiales; Euphorbiaceae. The record is from RNAcentral.